RNAcentral lists this transfer RNA (571 nucleotides) under Leptolyngbya sp. CENA555. RNAcentral describes it as "16S-23S ribosomal RNA intergenic spacer". The stretch from base 305 to 377 matches the Rfam family "tRNA". The record is from RNAcentral. Lineage: Bacteria; Bacillati; Cyanobacteriota; Cyanophyceae; Leptolyngbyales; Leptolyngbyaceae.
CCUUUUAGGGAGACCUACUUCAUCAGAGCCGAGACCCAAUUAACACGGUUCGAUGUAAGUCAUCCCAAGGUCGGUCAGGUUAGAGUAGUGAUAGGCUUUCAAACUAUAUUGGUUCGGACAUAGAGUGUUAGGUGAUGCGUUACAUUAGGCACGUCACUUAGGCAUUAUUGUGGCAUUGUUCAAAGCAUGUGUAGAUAGGAAAUAGUCCGAACCGAGAGAUAGGGGCUAUUAGCUCAGGUGGUUAGAGCGCACCCCUGAUAAGGGUGAGGUCCCUGGUUCGAGUCCAGGAUGGCCCACUUAGGUUGGGGGUAUAGCUCAGUUGGUAGAGCGCCUGCUUUGCAAGCAGGAUGUCAGCGGUUCGAGUCCGCUUACCUCCACCAAGGCGAGAUAGUGACUGGUGAGAUAGCGAAUAAGAGAACGUAGCACGUUGCCAUGAGACGGCAUCCUGCUGUGUUCUCAGAGCUCGGCAAGAACCUUGAAAACAGCAUAGUCAGAAUAUUGCUGUAGGUAGUAAGUAAGUAGCUAGACGAAUUAGUUUAGUUGCUUGAUUAAACAGACACCAAUGGAGAAG